This 436-nucleotide ribosomal RNA is filed under the name uncultured bacterium. Its description in RNAcentral is "partial 16S ribosomal RNA". It matches the Rfam family "Bacterial small subunit ribosomal RNA", at positions 355 to 781 of the family's 1533-position model. The record is from RNAcentral.
UGGGGAAUUUUGGACGAAUUGGGCGAAAGCCUGAUCCAGCAAUGCCGCGUGUGUGAAGAAGGCCUUCGGGUUGUAAAGCACUUUUGUCCGGAAAGAAAUCCUUGGCUCUAAUACAGUCGGGGGAUGACGGUACCGGAAGAAUAAGCACCGGCUAACUACGUGCCAGCAGCCGCGGUAAUACGUAGGGUGCAAGCGUUAAUCGGAAUUACUGGGCGUAAAGCGUGCGCAGGCGGUUUGCUAAGACCGAUGUGAAAUCCCCGGGCUCAACCUGGGAACUGCAUUGGUGACUGGCAGGCUAGAGUAUGGCAGAGGGGGGUGAGAAUUCCACGUGUAGCAGUGAAAUGCGUAGAGAUGUGGAGGAAUACCGAUGGCGAAGGCAGCCCCCUGGCAAGUACUGACGCUCAUGCACGAAAGCGUGGGGAGCAAACGGAUUAAU